GUGUCAGCCGCCGCGGUAAUACGGAGGGUGCAAGCGUUAUCCGGAUUCACUGGGUUUAAAGGGUGCGUAGGUGGGUUGGUAAGUCAGUGGUGAAAUCUCCAGGCUUAACUUGGAAACUGCCAUUGAUACUAUCAGUCUUGAAUACCGUGGAGAUGAGCGGAAUAUGUCAUGUAGCGGUGAAAUGCUUAGAUAUGACAUAGAACACCAAUUGCGAAGGCAGCUCGUUACACGAAUAUUGACACUGAUGCACGAAAGCGUGGGGAUCAAACAGGAUUAGAAACCCUAGUAGUCC
This 292-nucleotide ribosomal RNA is filed under the name uncultured bacterium. RNAcentral's name for it is "partial 16S ribosomal RNA". It matches the Rfam family "Bacterial small subunit ribosomal RNA", at positions 505 to 796 of the family's 1533-position model. The record is from RNAcentral.